Long non-coding RNA from Canis lupus familiaris (dog), 1967 nucleotides. RefSeq lists it as uncharacterized. NCBI's taxonomy places the organism in Eukaryota, Metazoa, Chordata, Mammalia, Carnivora, Canidae. The record is from RefSeq and is a predicted model, not a curated record. The transcript has 2 exons.
GGCGCGGGCGCGUGGGCGGGGGCGGGGAUCGCGCGUGCGGGCCCCUGCUCCCGUGCUGGUUUCUGCGGGGCUUGGGCCGGGCGGCCGCCGUCUGCCAAAAACAGAAGUGGCCCGCGCGAGUUCUGCGGACGCACACCUUGGCGAAGCGUUUGUGCGGCCCCAGGUCCCCCUUCCCCGGAAUGGCUCUUAUUUGGGGGGCGCAGAAGCCGGACGUUCUUACUGCAGGUCAAAAGGAUCUGGAGACGAAGACGGGAAAGUGACGCGCUCCCCUGUGCUCCUGGGUCGGAGCUGCAGUCACAGAGAGAGAAAGAGAGGCAGAGGCACAGGCAGAGGGAGAAGCAGGCUCCAUGCACCGGGAGCCCGACGUGGGAUUCGAUCCCGGGUCUCCAGGAUCGCGCCCUGGGCCAAAGGUAGGCGCUAAACCGCUGCGCCACCCAGGGAUCCCCCUAUUUUCUAAUACUAAUUUUGUUCGUUAGUAAAAACUGAAAGGCAGCGAUUUUUAUGCUAGUAUGCUAGCUUUUGAAAGCUUAUAAACAACCCAACUAUUUUGAAGAUGGGAGACACAUGGAAGAGGGCUACAGGAAAAAGCAGGCAGCAUGGGAGGCUAGUUGAAGGGACAGCAGCUGUGAGCUAACUAUUGGGUUCCAAUCAUUUACAACCUCUUGUUAGCUUAGACUAUGUAUUGUUUCCAUUGCUUUUUUUUUUUUCUUUCAGGAGAUAUUAAAUGGCUUAUCUAUUUCUAGGUGCAGUUUUCUAUUUGCCCCUGUCUUUUUUGUUUAAAAAUUAUAACCACCAUAGACUUUUUUCUCAAGCCCAAAUCAUUUCUUUAACUUGGACUCAAAAUUUGAAAUAUAUUUUGUGCACAAAAUUGCAACCUAAGUUCUUAUUUUUUACCCCUUUGUUGUUAUUUUUGCUUUUCUUUGGCCUUUUUCCAACACCCUGUUCUUAAAUGUGGAAAAUGUUACCGUGAACAUUACGUUGGAAAUAUGACUUCCUUAUUCUUAGGAGCAUGUGAGCAAGCAACAUUUGGGGUUUUCCCUUCUUACCGUGCAUACAAGGAUUUUAUUUUCCCAUGUUCAUCCCCAUACCAAGCAGUAGCAGUUUGAUUUGUUUCAAAGUUUUAGCAAGUCUCUUGUUUCAUUCUUGAUAGCAUAUCCUCUAUUUGGCAGAACGCAAGACAUCUUUCUCUCUGUUUUCUUUGGCAAGUUAUUUUCUUAUCUCAAAUUCUUUUUAUCCAGUUUGAGAGAUUGGAUUUGGUCCAGGAAAUAAGAAGGAUUCUAUUUCCCUUCCAUUAAGUAUCUUGAAAUUUAUAAGCUAGGUUAAGAAGACUGUAAGGAUUUUAUCUUCUUAUAUGUAUAAAAUGCAUAUGCUAUAUUAAAAUGUCUAUGAAGAUAAGUAAGAAUAAGGCAGUUCUUAAAUUUAAUUUCUUCCAUUUGACUUUCCGGCCGAAAAUCUAUUCUACUUUUAUUUUCUUCUUUUUUGCUAUGACCCUUUAAGGAAAAGUCCUCAUUUUAACAGAAAACAUUAGGGUAGCUUAUUUAUGGAAAUGAGGGCAUAAUUUCAGAAGUAUUCCCUGCCAUUAUCAUUAUACUUUGCAAAUUUCUCUUUUGUUAAUCCACUUUUCUUCACAAAUAUCACUGUUUACAUACUGUUACAAGUCCUUUGAAACACUCUGUUCUCCUUACUAAUGUUAAUAAUUUAAAAUGUAGUGACACCCAUCAUUGCAGAGGAAUGUGGAGGUAGCCACACACAGGAAUCAAUUGCAUUGAGCAGCCAUUGUAGCUAUAAUUACCAGUACUGACUAGCUGCUUUACUUGGCAGAAUGGAGUUUAGAGACAGAACCCCAGCCAACCUGGAUACUGCAGGGGUGAUGAAUGUGAUUUCUACCAUGCAACCUCCAAGUUCCUUGGGUUUAAAAUGCUCACGUUGUCUAUGUUUAAGUAAAUGUUGUUUAUAACAAUGUUUAA